GUGCCAGCAGCCGCGGUAAUACGUAGGGUCCAAGCGUUAAUCGGAAUUACUGGGCGUAAAGCGUGCGCAGGCGGUUGUGCAAGACCGAUGUGAAAUCCCCGGGCUUAACCUGGGAAUUGCAUUGGUGACUGCACGGCUAGAGUGUGUCAGAGGGGGGUAGAAUUCCACGUGUAGCAGUGAAAUGCGUAGAGAUGUGGAGGAAUACCGAUGGCGAAGGCAGCCCCCUGGGAUAACACUGACGCUCAUGCACGAAAGCGUGGGGAGCAAACAGGAUUAGAUACCCUGGUAGUCCACGCCCUAAACGAUGUCAACUAGUUGUUGGGGAUUCAUUUCCUUAGUAACGUAGCUAACGCGUGAAGUUGACCGCCUGGGGAGUACGGUCGCAAGAUUAAAACUCAAAGGAAUUGGCGGGGACCCGCACAAGCGGUGGAUGAUGUGGAUUAAUUCGAUGCAACGCGAAGAACCUUACCAGG
This 473-nucleotide ribosomal RNA is filed under the name Ralstonia sp. enrichment culture. RNAcentral's name for it is "bacterial SSU rRNA". It matches the Rfam family "Bacterial small subunit ribosomal RNA", at positions 505 to 978 of the family's 1533-position model. Lineage: Bacteria; Pseudomonadati; Pseudomonadota; Betaproteobacteria; Burkholderiales; Burkholderiaceae. The record is from RNAcentral.